RNAcentral lists this ribosomal RNA (497 nucleotides) under uncultured bacterium. RNAcentral describes it as "partial 16S ribosomal RNA". It matches the Rfam family "Bacterial small subunit ribosomal RNA", at positions 30 to 523 of the family's 1533-position model. The record is from RNAcentral.
AUUGAACGCUGGCGGCAUGCCUACACAUGCAAGUCGAACGGUAACAGGUCUUCGGAUGCUGACGAGUGGCGAACGGGUGAGUAAUACAUCGGAACGUGCCUAGUAGUGGGGGAUAACUACUCGAAAGAGUGGCUAAUACCGCAUGAGAUCUACGGAUGAAAGCAGGGGAUCGCAAGACCUUGUGCUACUAGAGCGGCCGAUGGCAGAGUAGGUAGUUGGUGGGAUAAAAGCUUACCAAGCCGACGAUCUGUAGCUGGUCUGAGAGGACGAUCAGCCACACUGGGACUGAGACACGGCCCAGACUCCUACGGGAGGCAGCAGUGGGGAAUUUUGGACAAUGGGCGAAAGCCUGAUCCAGCAAUGCCGCGUGCAGGAUGAAGGCCUUCGGGUUGUAAACUGCUUUUGUACGGAACGAAAAGCCCCGGGUUAAUACCCUGGGGUCAUGACGGUACCGUAAGAAUAAGCACCGGCUAACUACGUGCCAGCCGCCGCAGUAA